GGCGGCGUGCUUAACACAUGCAAGUCGAGCGGAAAGGCCCUUCGGGGUACUCGAGCGGCGAACGGGUGAGUAACACGUGAGUAACCUGCCCCUGACUCUGGGAUAAGCCCGGGAAACUGGGUCUAAUACCGGAUAUGACACGCUUCCGCAUGGAAUGCGUGUGGAAAGUCUUUUCGUUUGGGGAUGGACUCGCGGCCUAUCAGCUUGUUGGUGGGGUAACGGCCUACCAAGGCGACGACGGGUAGCCGGCCUGAGAGGGCGACCGGCCACACUGGGACUGAGACACGGCCCAGACUCCUACGGGAGGCAGCAGUGGGGAAUAUUGCGCAAUGGGCGGAAGCCUGACGCAGCGACGCCGCGUGGGGGAUGACGGCCUUCGGGUUGUAAACCUCUUUCAGCAGGGACGAAGUUGACGUGUACCUGCAGAAGAAGCGCCGGCUAACUACGUGCCAGCAGCCGCGGUAAUACGUAGGGCGCAAGCGUUGUCCGGAAUUAUUGGGCGUAAAGAGCUCGUAGGUGGCUUGUCGCGUCGGAUGUGAAAGCUUGGGGCUUAACUCCAGGUCUGCAUUCGAUACGGGCUGGCUAGAGGUAGGCAGGGGAGAACGGAAUUCCUGGUGUAGCGGUGAAAUGCGCAGAUAUCAGGAGGAACACCGGUGGCGAAGGCGGUUCUCUGGGCCUUACCUGACGCUGAGGAGCGAAAGCGUGGGGAGCGAACAGGAUUAGAUACCCUGGUAGUCCACGCCGUAAACGUUGGGCGCUAGGUGUGGGGGACCUUCCACGGUUUCCGCGCCGUAGCUAACGCAUUAAGCGCCCCGCCUGGGGAGUACGGCCGC
RNAcentral lists this ribosomal RNA (833 nucleotides) under Streptosporangium sp. IM-7087. RNAcentral's name for it is "bacterial SSU rRNA". It matches the Rfam family "Bacterial small subunit ribosomal RNA", at positions 38 to 889 of the family's 1533-position model. Lineage: Bacteria; Bacillati; Actinomycetota; Actinomycetes; Streptosporangiales; Streptosporangiaceae. The record is from RNAcentral.